This 62-nucleotide microRNA precursor is filed under the name Taeniopygia guttata (zebra finch). RNAcentral describes it as "Tgu-Mir-7-P4_pre stem-loop". Lineage: Eukaryota; Metazoa; Chordata; Aves; Passeriformes; Estrildidae. The record is from RNAcentral.
UGGAAGACUAGUGAUUUUGUUGUUGUGUUUGUAAAGGUGACAACAAAUCAUAGCCUGCCAUA